Molecule: ribosomal RNA, 397 nt
Filed under: uncultured bacterium
Lineage: Bacteria
Description: partial 16S ribosomal RNA
Rfam family: Bacterial small subunit ribosomal RNA
Source: RNAcentral
AUACGUAGGUGGCAAGCGUUGUCCGGAAUUAUUGGGCGUAAAGCGCGCGCAGGUGGUUCCUUAAGUCUGAUGUGAAAGCCCCCGGCUCAACCGGGGAGGGUCAUUGGAAACUGGGGAACUUGAGUGCAGAAGAGGAUAGUGGAAUUCCAAGUGUAGCGGUGAAAUGGGUAGAGAUUUGGAGGAACACCAGUGGCGAAGGCGAGUGUCUGGUCUGUAACUGACACUGAGGCGCGAAAGCGUGGGGAGCAAACAGGAUUAGAUACCCGGGUAGUCCACGCCGUAAACGAUGAGUGCUAAGUGUUGGGGGGUUUCCGCCCCUCAGUGCUGCAGCUAACGCAUUAAGCACUCCGCCUGGGGAGUACGGUCGCAAGACUGAAACUCAAAUGAAUUGACGGGG